UGAAAACAGAAGAAAGAAGUUUGGAAAAGUCAUUAUCUGAAACAGAAAUGUCUCUAUGUACCCACAUUUUUAAUAACUGGCCAAUAUAACAGGGUUUUAGGAAAGGGACCAUAGGACUUUUACAACCGUUUGUAACAGCUCAUCAAGCAACAUCUGUUAAAAAUAUUACCUGGAUCAUAUCAACUUCUGUGGCAUGAUCUUUACUUGGAGACCUAAAUCAGCAAGAUCGCUGUCAGCAGGAGCCUUGGUUCCUGAAUUAUUACUGCUCUGGCCAGAACUGAUUCAGGAUUGGGCUUGAGUUUAAAUGAGAAAUUACCUUUUAUUUAAUAGGUCCUGACUUGUCUGAUCUGCACAUGUCUCUAAUUGUAUUUUAAAUUAGAAAGGUGACAUUUAAUUAACUAAAAAACAAACUCCAGCAGAAGCUAAAGGGCUACUGUGCUGCAGGCCUGAAAACCCAUCUGUGAAAUAGCAACUACUAACAUGCCUCUGUCUAAACUGUGAUUAAACUUAUUUUUUAUUAAACACAUAAAGCUUCUA
This is a long non-coding RNA of Silurus meridionalis, 537 nucleotides long. RefSeq lists it as uncharacterized. The record is from RefSeq and is a predicted model, not a curated record. The transcript is spliced from 3 exons. NCBI's taxonomy places the organism in Eukaryota, Metazoa, Chordata, Actinopteri, Siluriformes, Siluridae.